Molecule: ribosomal RNA, 506 nt
Filed under: uncultured bacterium
Lineage: Bacteria
Description: partial 16S ribosomal RNA
Rfam family: Bacterial small subunit ribosomal RNA
Source: RNAcentral
AGUGAACGCUGGCGGUAGGCCUAACACAUGCAAGUCGAACGGCAGCACAGGAGAGCUUGCUCUCUGGGUGGCGAGUGGAGGACGGGUGAGGAAUACAUCGGAAUCUACUCUGUCGUGGGGGAUAACGUAGGGAAACUUACGCUAAUACCGCAUACGAACUACGGGUGAAAGCAGGGGACCAUUGGGCCUUGCGCGAUUGAAUGAGCCGAUGUCGGAUUAGCUAGUUGGGGCGGUAAAGGCCCACCAAGGCGACGAUCCGUAGCGGGUCUGAGAGGAUGAUCAGCCACACUGGAACUGAGACACGCUCCAGACUCCUACGGGAGGCAGCAGGGGGGAAUAUUGGACAAUGGGCGCAAGCCUGAUCCAGCCAUACCGCGUGGGUGAAGAAGGCCUUCGGGUUGUAAAGCCCUUUUGUUGGGAAAGAAAUCCAGCUGGCUAAUACCCGGUUGGGAUGACGGUACCCAAAGAAUAAGCACCGGCUAACUUCGUGCCAGCCGCCGCAGUAA